This 465-nucleotide ribosomal RNA is filed under the name Vreelandella stevensii. Its description in RNAcentral is "partial 16S ribosomal RNA". It matches the Rfam family "Bacterial small subunit ribosomal RNA", at positions 338 to 795 of the family's 1533-position model. Lineage: Bacteria; Pseudomonadati; Pseudomonadota; Gammaproteobacteria; Oceanospirillales; Halomonadaceae. The record is from RNAcentral.
CCUACGGGUGGCAGCAGUGGGGAAUAUUGGACAAUGGGCGAAAGCCUGAUCCAGCCAUGCCGCGUGUGUGAAGAAGGCCUUCGGGUUGUAAAGCACUUUCAGUGGGGAAGAAAGCCUUGGGGCUAAUACCCUCGAGGAAGGACAUCACCCACAGAAGAAGCACCGGCUAACUCCGUGCCAGCAGCCGCGGUAAUACGGAGGGUGCGAGCGUUAAUCGGAAUUACUGGGCGUAAAGCGCGCGUAGGCGGUCUGAUAAGCCGGUUGUGAAAGCCCCGGGCUCAACCUGGGAACGGCAUCCGGAACUGUCAGGCUAGAGUGCAGGAGAGGAAGGUAGAAUUCCCGGUGGAGCGGUGAAAUGCGUAGAGAUCGGGAGGAAUACCAGUGGCGAAGGCGGCCUUCUGGACUGACACUGACGCUGAGGUGCGAAAGCGUGGGUAGCAAACAGGAUUAGAUACCCUGGUAGUC